GAUGAACGCUGGCGGUAUGCUUAACACAUGCAGGUCGAACGGACUCUUCGGAGUUAGUGGCGGACGGGUGAGUAACGCGUGAGAAUCUGGCUUUGGGUUCGGGACAACCACUGGAAACGGUGGCUAAUACCGGAUGUGCCGAGAGGUAAAAGAGAAAUUGCCUGAAGAUGAGCUCGCGUCUGAUUAGCUAGUUGGUAAGGUAAAGGCUCACCAAGGCAGCGAUCAGUAGCUGGUCUGAGAGGAUGACCAGCCACACUGGGACUGAGACACGGCCCAGACUCCUACGGGAGGCAGCAGUGGGGAAUUUUCCGCAAUGGGCGAAAGCCUGACGGAGCAAUACCGCGUGAGGGAAGAAGGCUCUUGGGUUGUAAACCUCUUUUCUUAGGGAAGAACAAAAUGACGGUACCUAAGGAAUCAGCAUCGGCUAACUCCGUG
This 435-nucleotide ribosomal RNA is filed under the name uncultured bacterium. RNAcentral describes it as "partial 16S ribosomal RNA". It matches the Rfam family "Bacterial small subunit ribosomal RNA", at positions 28 to 507 of the family's 1533-position model. The record is from RNAcentral.